GAUGAACGCUAGCUACAGGCUUAACACAUGCAAGUCGAGCGACCGGCGCACGGGUGAGUAACACGUAUCCAACCUGCCCUUUACUCGGGGAUAGCCUUUCGAAAGAAAGAUUAAUACCCGAUGUAAAGGAUGGGGAUGCGUUCCAUUAGGUUGUUGGGGAUGGAACGGCUCACCAAGCCUGCGAUGGAUAGGGGUUCUGAUAGGAAGGUCCCCCACAUUGGAACUGAGACACGGUCCAAACUCCUACGCGAGGCAGCAGUGAGGAAGAUUGGUCAAUGGGCGUUAGCCUGAACCAGCCAAGUAGCGUGAAGGAUGAAGGCUUAUGGGUCGUAAACUGCUUUUAUAUAAGAAUAUGUAUUAGAUGAAUAAGGAGCGGCUAACUCCGUGCCAGCAGCCGCGGUAAUUC
Molecule: ribosomal RNA, 406 nt
Filed under: uncultured bacterium
Lineage: Bacteria
Description: partial 16S ribosomal RNA
Rfam family: Bacterial small subunit ribosomal RNA
Source: RNAcentral